GGAAGCGUGGCAGAGCGGUUGAAUGCACCGGUCUUGAAAACCGGCAAAGGGGCAACUCUUUCCAGGGUUCGAAUCCCUGCUCCUCCGCCA
RNAcentral lists this transfer RNA (90 nucleotides) under Betaproteobacteria bacterium. Its description in RNAcentral is "tRNA-Ser". It matches the Rfam family "tRNA". Rfam says of the family: Transfer RNA (tRNA) molecules are approximately 80 nucleotides in length. Their secondary structure includes four short double-helical elements and three loops (D, anti-codon, and T loops). Lineage: Bacteria; Pseudomonadati; Pseudomonadota; Betaproteobacteria. The record is from RNAcentral.